AUAAGCGGAGGAAAAGAACCAACAGGGAUUCCCCUAGUAACGGCGAGUGAAGCGGCAACAGCUCAAAUUGAAAUCUGGCUCUUCAGAGUCCGAGUUGUAAUUUGCAGAGGGCGCUUUGGCUUUGGCAGCGGUCCAAGUUCCUUGGAACAGGACGUCACAGAGGGUGAGAAUCCCGUACGUGGUCGCUAGCUAUUGCCGUGUAAAGCCCCUUCGACGAGUCGAGUUGUUUGGGAAUGCAGCUCUAAAUGGGAGGUAAAUUUCUUCUAAAGCUAAAUAUUGGCCAGAGACCGAUAGCGCACAAGUAGAGUGAUCGAAAGAUGAAAAGCACUUUGGAAAGAGAGUCAAACAGCACGUGAAAUUGUUGAAAGGGAAGCGCUUGCAGCCAGACUUGCUUGCAGUUGCUCAUCCGGGCUUUUGCCCGGUGCACUCUUCUGCAGGCAGGCCAGCAUCAGUUUGGGCGGUGGGAUAAAGGUCUCUGUCAUGUACCUCUCUUCGGGGAGGCCUUAUAGGGGAGGCGACAUACCACCAGCCUAGACUGAGGUCCGCGCAUCUGCUAGGAUGCUGGCGUAAUGGCUGUAAGCGGCCCGUCUUGAAACACGGACCAAGGAGUCUAACAUCUAUGCGAGUGUUUGGGUGUCAAGCCCGAGCGCGUAAUGAAAGUGAACGGAGGUGGGAACCCGCAAGGGUGCACCAUCGACCGAUCCUGAAGUUUUCGGAAGGAUUUGAGUAAGAGCAUGGCUGUUGGGACCCGAAAGAUGGUGAACUAUGCUUGAAUAGGGUGAAGCCAGAGGAAACUCUGGUGGAGGCUCGCAGCGGUUCUGACGUGCAAAUCGAUCGUCAAAUUUGGGCAUAGGGGCGAAAGACUAAUC
This 869-nucleotide ribosomal RNA is filed under the name Setomelanomma sp. 'turcica'. Its description in RNAcentral is "LSU rRNA". It matches the Rfam family "Eukaryotic large subunit ribosomal RNA", at positions 46 to 936 of the family's 3401-position model. Lineage: Eukaryota; Fungi; Ascomycota; Dothideomycetes; Pleosporales; Phaeosphaeriaceae. The record is from RNAcentral.